GACAUGCUAUUUUUUCCAUUCGUUCCUUUUCAGGAUCUUUUUUAUAACAGCAAUGGAUUGACAUCAUAUAAGUCUUUUCAUUGAGUAACAAUAAUUUUCCCAAUUAUAUAAACAUCAAACAUUCUUCUAUCUCGACUCUUCAAUGAGAAAGGCCAGGUGGUGGCGGAGAAUAAGGUGGGAUCUUACACUUAUAUAAACAAAAUGUAUCACACAAAUCAAAAAAGUUUGUCUUGCCCUUAUUGCAGAUUCCAUAGCAUGGAUCGUAGCAGGCGUGACAUUUGCUUCCACAGGUAAUGAUACAAUAAACGUUAAUUCCAUCUCUGCUAUGUUUACACUUAUUACAGCAUGGAUCGAAGCAGUAGUCGAUAAAUUUUGCCUCUACAAAGACGAACAUCAAUACCAUAAUAACCACACAACGCCAGGCCUUCAUGUUUGUAUCCAUCUUGG
Molecule: long non-coding RNA, 447 nt
Filed under: Olea europaea (common olive)
Lineage: Eukaryota; Viridiplantae; Streptophyta; Magnoliopsida; Lamiales; Oleaceae
Description: long non-coding RNA (OEUR_LNC008990)
Source: RNAcentral